UCCAGGCUCCAAGCUGUCAGCACAGAACCUGAUGCAGGGCUCGAACUCACGAUCUGUGAGAUCAUGACCUGGACCGAAGUCGGACGCUUAACCGACCGAGCCACCCAGGCGCCCCAAAUGACCUACAUUUUCUAAACAACUGCUAUUUUUCUUUCUUGUCAGAAUAAAGUGGCUUGUAAAGGGUCUGUUCUCAGUUCCAGAAACUGAGGGCUCCUUUCGAUAAUUCGUCAGUUGUAAUUUAUAAACUAACUUGCUUAAGACCUUGAAACCCAUCUAUAUCAUGAAAAAGGUGACCUCCGCUGGGAAAAUUCAAGACGAAUUGGAGUCACAAACCCUCUCCUGUUCUCUGGUUUGGUUCCAUCACUUGGAACAUGGAAAAAGCAAUAUUCAGAUUUGCUUCAAGAGGGAACCCACUAGCCUAGCCUGCUACUAAAUAGACACUCAUUAAAAUUGAUACUCCAUCUGAUCUCACUUAUCCUGGAGAAUUUAGGCUGUUUCGUUGGACAUCUGCUUUCCUAAGAUAAAGUCUCUCUCCAAAUAUGGACUCCACCUAGCGUUGUGACUGCAUAAAUAGGGUUAUUAGCUCACCCUUUCUUUGCAAAGCAUCUGAAGUGCCUCGCGUGCGUGAAGAAGGGGAGCCAGGGACCUUCUCAAAGCAUGUCUUAGGCCCACUCAUUGUUGCCUCUGCCAGGUCCCCAAACAGGAAGCCAGUGAAAUACACCGUAAAUACGACCCCGGUUGGUGAGUUACUUCAAAGGCGUUUUUUUGUUUUUUUGUUUUUUGUUUUUUUUUUUUUUUUGUAAAACUGAGCGGCACAGGCUAUGUGGAAUAUACCGUAUUCAUACUGAAAUGAAAUGAGGAAACGUGCAUAAAAUUAAAAUCACGACAUGGCCAGUUGAGGAAUUUGAGUGUUGGCUUGCUGCUAAGAGCACAUUUUUGUGCUACUUUAGAAAAUGAUGACCUCAACACUGCCACAAAGCCACUAUUGUCAAGGGUGCGCUGCGAACACUGCUAGGAGGAUCCAACCUGCUUUCGAUUCUUUAUCAGGGAAACAAAAGAGCCACAAGGUGAUUGUCACUGGAAUCCGAUGCUUUCCGAUGGGAUCAGACUCAUAAAAGAGCUUACAGAGGUUUAAGUUGCUCUGAAAUCAAGGUCCUUUGGGGGCACGGAUGAACUCAAAGUUACCAUCAUGCGAUAGAAUGAAUAGGAAGUGGCUUAUAAACUGUAAAUGCUAAAUAGGUCUAAAUAGUUCUUGUUGUUCAAUCGUCAGUGACAAACUCUUAGGUCAGCAGAGGCUUAAAAUUAUCUAGCAUUUGAUACAGAGAGUGAGAGAAGCACAGAGAACCAUAUGCAAUGUGUAACCUCAGGUUCCACGUACUGAAUUUUUUUUACAUUUAUUUAUUUUUUGAGAGACAUAGAGAGACAGAGCACAAGUUGGGGAGGGGCAGAGAGAGGAGGAGACACAGAAUCCAAAGCAGGCUCCAGGCUCCGAGCCAUCAGUCCAGAGCCCGAUGCAGGGCUCGAACUCACAAACUGUGAGAUCGUGACCCGAGCCGAAGUCGGACGCUCAACCUACUGAGCCACCCAGGCGCCCCUCAAGUACUGAAUUUUGAGUCCUCUUGUCCUCAUGCACUGUCUUGGGCUUUCCAAAAUCACUGUAAUGAAAUGCAGCUGGGUUUUGUACUCCUCCCAAAAAUGCAGAAGAUGGGAAAAGGGAUUUUGCUUAUUUGCCUACAUCAUUUAUAAGCUAACGUGUGAAAUGAACUAUCAAACCUUCUGAAACUUAUUAAGGUGAAUUCUGUCGCCAGAAACACAUUUUAUAGCUUUUUAAAAAAGCCAUGGGGAAUUUUCAGCAGGACAUGAGUAUUUAAAAACACAACUCAUUCCGUUAAUUGGGAGCCAUACAGCUAAGCCUCAGACAAUUUAAGUUUUAAAAUUUCUCUUGGGGCUUUAAGGGUAUCGAUUAUAAAAUGCUUAUUCAAUGUUGUUCGGCUGUGUGACUGCUCCCUGGCAUUAGGGGUGAUUCUUGCUCUUCUCCAAUGCAGCUCUGAGGCUGGACGUAAUACCCAGCAUGUGUUUGUGAAAAUAUAGGAACGUAUUCAGCAUCUUUCCGAGCACAGUUUUAGGACCUUUCUCCUACAGCAAAGUUGUUUUAGUUAUUUACAAUAAAUAUUGAUUUCAUUUGGCACGAUGCUUAGCUCCAUAUUUUAUUAAUUAGCUUUAUGUUUCAUCCUAAAUACUAAAAUAGAAGUCUUUCAAGUAACCGAGGAUCCCAAAUGCAUUUAUAAGGAAAUGCUAAUAUGGUCUUUGUGACUUUGGGAAUUUGGGUGUUGAUAAAUUUGAGGGUGUUUUGGAGUGGUGUCUAAUGCCUUAUACAAAACCGUGGCAGUUUUCUUCUAUUAAGAAAUCACAUCCCCCAAGGUGUCUGAAAAACUUCCUUCAGAAGAUUUCAAAAUGCCAGAUGUAAAUAUUUUUGCACUAAAACAAUAAUUCAGGGGGCGCCUGGGUGGCUCAGUCAGUUAAGCAUCUGACUUGAUUUCGGCUUAGGUCAUGAUCUCAUAGUCAUGAGAUCGAGGUCCACAUCAGACUCGACACUCUGUGUGAAGCCUGCUGGGGAUUCUCUCUCUCCUCCUCUCUCUCUCUGCCUCUCCCCUGCUUGCUGCCUCUCUCUCCCUCUCAAAAUAAAUAAAUAAAAUUUUUUUAAAUUAAAAACAUAAAACAAUAAUUCAGGAACACAAACAUCAAAUGACUUUUUUUUUUUUUUAGAAGACUUUAUGAUUUUAGAAGACCCACAUAUCUGAUCGAAAUUCUAUGUCAGAGUCAGCAGAGUUAAUGUUGAGUUAGGUUGAAAAACUUUCUCGGAGCUUUUGGGUGGUUAGUUGGUUAAGCAUCUGACUUCAGCUCAGAUCAUGAUCUCACGGUUCGUGAGUUCGAGCCCCGCGUCAGGCUCUGCGCUGACAGCUCAGAGCCUGGAGCCUGCUUUGGAUUCGGUGUCUCCCUCUUUCUCUGCCCCUUCCCUGCUCACGCUCUGUCUCUCACUCUCUCAAAAAUAAAUAAAAAGCAUUAAAAAAAAUUCUCUCCGAAUAUUCAACAGAUGAUACCCUGCAAAUCCAGAGUGUUCACCCGUUCUAGAACAAAGCCCUAAACACAUCUGGGAAUUUCCAGUCAGACCAGAAGAACACCAGAGGGAGCGGGCUCUGGCUGGGAGUUUUAAAAAUGCUGAAGCGACUGCCAAGAAAUAAUCUCUCCUUAGACACUGAGUGGGCAGAAGUGGUGUAUGACUCCUCUGGAUGCCCUGCUUUAGCUCUUGUCCCUGCCUGACAUCAGGGGAGGGGCAUGGGCAAGAUGGCUGCCUCCCGUGGAUUUGGCAGGAGUCUGGGACUGGAGGCUGAACCUAACCUCUUCCCUCCAGAGCUGACCCGCUUUGCAUCCUGGAGGAGAGGUCACUUUUCCCGUCCUUCUCCUUUCCCUGGGCAAUUUAGAGGGGAGAAACUGUAAAGUUUUCUGGAAGUUGCUGAUCACAUGUAAGGAGGAGAGAUUGCAGCUCAAGGGAAGAUCCUUGGGAAUCAGGGUUCAGAGGGAGAAGAGAACUAGGGAGAAGAUGGAAGCCUUCCAAGCCUGCAGGGUGAGGAUAUUCACACCGGUUUUUGAGGAAGAGCUCAGCUUGGGCGAAUAACACUGGCACGGAGACAGAACUUUGGUUGAGGUCGGGCAAAAGGACUUGAUCGUGGGAGACAGAUUAAGAGCCUGCUAACCACCGCCCCACAUCAGAACAGAAGCAGUCUCAAGGUGACUUUGCAAUGCUCCACCCAACUGCCCUGUGAAGGAAGCACCUUUAAUUCUCUCUGGUUCCAGAACCUGGGGUGGUGUUGUAGCUGUGGAAAUGCGCGUCUUGUGCAGGCAGGACAUUUAAUGCUGGCAUUAAGAUGUUGAGUUCAGAUUGUUCUAUCUGCCAAUACGUGACCCAGAGCUAUCUUAAAUCCUUUUGGAAUGAGGUAGGGUACACACUCAAAAAAUGUACAUGUCUGUGCAAGUGGAUACAUUUCUCCAAGCAGCCUUAA
Molecule: long non-coding RNA, 4061 nt
Organism: Felis catus (domestic cat)
Lineage: Eukaryota; Metazoa; Chordata; Mammalia; Carnivora; Felidae
Exons: 2
Source: RefSeq, a predicted model, not a curated record